AAAUAUACCGAUAAAGUGUAAAGCUGAAAUUACACGACCAAUUGGAAAAUGCAUGCGUACCACUGUGCAAAGUUAUUCACGCACACAUACACGUGUACAGGUGCUGCACACAUGUUCAAAAAUGUGUGUGGGGGAACGGGAAUACUAAUGUUUCAUCUUCUCGUUUUGUUGUUGUUUUAAAAAACUUUUUGUCCACAUGAGCGUCUAUUGUUAAUUCUAAUAUAGAUAUCACACACACACACACACUUACAUAAUUGCUCGUAUGUAUUGGCACUGCUGUGGACUUAACGCACUUGAUCAUUUGUUGAUAUUCUCCGUUUAGUUGCUCAGAAUCCUGCAAUCCAGCUAACAUCGUAAGACUACUGUCUCGGGAGAUGGAGGUGGAGGUGUGAGGGUUUGGGCUAUAAUUUUUAAUAAUCGACGACACAAACAAGAAAAACAAAAAAACAAACCA
Long non-coding RNA from Drosophila guanche, 454 nucleotides. RefSeq lists it as uncharacterized. The record is from RefSeq and is a predicted model, not a curated record. The transcript is spliced from 2 exons. NCBI's taxonomy places the organism in Eukaryota, Metazoa, Arthropoda, Insecta, Diptera, Drosophilidae.